GCAUCCUGGGAGCUGUCCAUAUUGGUUUGUUACCGGUGGUUGGCUCUUUGCUUUUGCAACAACUUCCACCUGGCAUUCCUCUUCAGUCUUGCGUCAAGGUUGCAUUUCCUUGAGCGCUUUUGGUUUCCUGUGUUGCCUACCAUUGUGACGGUAACGGUUGAUUACAUCAAAGUCUUUGUUCAUCAUGGGUCAUUUGUAUGGCGUAGGAUGAACCUCAAAGCAGCUUCUAUGGUCCACCUUCUUGAUGCACAUGCAUAGAUGUUGUGGCUCAUUGAGUUCCGCUAGGUUUUCUGAAUAUAGAACAUGAUAUGGGUGUGGGUCUUUUGGGAUCCUUGUUUUGCCCUUGUUGAACGCUGUUGUUACUCUUAGAUGUGACUGCCUAUCCUGAAUUGGCUCGUACCACCGGGGUAGGUAAUUUGUUGAAGGUUAAUAAUAGCGUUCUUGCUUCUCUAAGACCGACGGCCUCGCCUGUAUUGGUUCUUACCAGCAGGCGGGUGAUGUCAAAGAGGGAUGCUACCUGGUUGAUCCUGCCAGUAGUCAUAUGCUUGUCUCAA
RNAcentral lists this unclassified non-coding RNA (554 nucleotides) under Pallenis spinosa. RNAcentral describes it as "contains 3 external transcribed spacer, ETS". Lineage: Eukaryota; Viridiplantae; Streptophyta; Magnoliopsida; Asterales; Asteraceae. The record is from RNAcentral.